This 2013-nucleotide long non-coding RNA is filed under the name Portunus trituberculatus (swimming crab). RNAcentral describes it as "uncharacterized LOC123515714". Lineage: Eukaryota; Metazoa; Arthropoda; Malacostraca; Decapoda; Portunidae. The record is from RNAcentral.
ACAGCAGCUCCCGGCACAGCAUCACGCCGCAGCUCACACAGGCGUCUACCAGACUACCACACCCGCAGCGAACUGCUGGAAGGCACGCGUGAAUAAAAAUAGAUGCUAAGCCUGCAAAACAUUACCUGAGGAUUAUGAAGCCACGUGAGCAUCCUCGCUACUCACUGCAGGCUUUGACUUGGUGCUGCUCUUCCCUCUGCUGCCUGGCUUGUCCUUCUUUGAUGGGCCAGUAAAUAAUCCUCCAAUCUUACUUACAUCUGUGGUGGCAAACUGAAGAGCAUUGAUGGCACUGCGAAUGUCUCCCCCUGAGGCGUCUGUCAGACUCUGCAGCACCUCCUUGGAGGGCAGUGGAAGCCUCAACCCACCUUCACCGGCACUCUCUAUGCUCAGGAUGCGAUUCAGAGCCUUUACUAACAGCCCACUUGCAAUGGGAUUGAAUCUAUGUAAACAUUAAUGGGAAUUAGUAAUACUAUUACACACACACAUUAUUAUUAUCACUUCACAGUGACUUAUCAGUUAUGGAGUGACUGUCAGUGUCAUCAGUGCUUUGUGAUCUACUCCAGCAUAGCUGUCAUCACGUCUCACCCAAUGCUGACAAUGGAGAGUUCCUGCACCAAGUCAGGAGGAAAGAGUCGCUUCACAUUCCCAUACUGGUUGGUGGAGUCUGUCACAAUGAACACCACUGGGCUGCUGUUGCUCCACUGACUGUAUUUCCUGCACAUAUAUGACAAUGAAUGUAGACUGUAAUUGCUGAAGUCAUUUCCCAUAAAUUUGAUAUAUGAUAGAAAAUCACAAACGCUAACUAAUCACUUAAGAAAAAUAAGCACGAAAUAAGAUUGCUAUAACCACAACACAUUUUAAAGCAAGUCAUACUGCAUACACUGUCCUCAACCAAAACACCACAAGGGAGCUACUGCCUGCAUGCCACUGGAGAAUGAUCAAGCACCUGGGAAAUACCAAGAGUCUCCUGUUGUGUGUAAUUCUUUGAAAUAUCACAAGUGAGGGACAAGUAUCUUUAAAUACUUCAGUCAAGGCUACCAAAUCCUGUCAACUACAAUAUAUUCCAUAGCUUUAAUUAUCCAUAUAACUUACUUGCCAACACCAAGUCAGACAAGCCUGUAAUGCAAAGCAGGAUCCUCAAACCUAAUGUCACUCAGGCAAAAAUAUAAAGUGAAACAAACUGGAAUCAUUGACAAGUCUUCAAAUUCCACUUCAUGGAAGCAGUCAAUAAUUGGAGCUAUUUAUGUCAUGAUUACUACAGUAUAGUAAAAGUGCCAAAAAUAACACAUCUGGGUUUUAACUUUCUUUGCACUUACCUGAGCAUGGUAUGAAAAGAUGCUGGGUCUCUGAGAAUAGCAUUGGGGAAAUCCUCCACACACACCAGGUUCUCUCUCUUGUCUGUUGUGCACACACUGUUGUACUUGCUGCACCGCAUCAAGAACUCCCAGAACUGUGUGGUCUGGCUGACUGGGACCACCGUGUCAUCAGGUCUCCACACAUUUUCUGUUGGGAUGUCAGAGUGUAUUAUAGGAGAUCAGACAACAUUAAGUGUGAAUUUUGACUAUUUAGCAUUAUUAAACUCGAUCAGCGUAAUUAUUGUGCAUUGGUACAAAGAUCGAUCUUCACUAGUAACUUUUAUAUCUAAGUAGAGGGAUAAAUUAAGCAAAACAUUGCUAACAUUAUGCUUUAAUUAUCCUCAGUAUUUGUCUUCCCUAAAAUGCCAGUGGUAAAACUUAUCAAUGAUUGGUCUAACCUUGUUCCAUAAAAUUAUUAUUAUAAGGUGUUGUGGUGGGGUUGGUCCACUCCACUAGAUUGAGUUUUGCUUCCCGGGCAAGGACCCUGACAGUGGCAGAUUUCCCACAUCCUGCAGGCCCAGUUAGCAGCAGCAGCUUUCUCCCCUGCAAAAGGUGACUGCAUUGAGGCCAUGUGCUCUACUUGUCCUUACUUGUCUCAUGUUAUCUUUAAUUCUACGUUUAAUGUAAUAAUCUUAUAUAAUAAAACAUAUUGUCUGUC